CCUACGGGUGGCAGCAGUGGGGAAUAUUGCACAAUGGGCGAAAGCCUGAUGCAGCAACGCCGCGUGAGCGAUGAAGGCCUUCGGGUCGUAAAGCUCUGUCCUCAAGGAAGAUAAUGACGGUACUUGAGGAGGAAGCCCCGGCAAACUACGUGCCAGCAGCCGCGGUAAUACGUAGGGGGCUAGCGUUAUCCGGAAUUACUGGGCGAAAAGGGUGCGUAGGUGGUUUCUUAAGUCAGAGGUGAAAGGCUACGGCUCAACCGUAGUAAGCCUUUGAAACUGGGGAACUUGAGUGCAGGAGAGGCAGGCGGAAUUCCUGGUGUAGCGGUGAAAUGCGUAGAGAUCAGGAGGAACACCGGUGGCGAAGGCGGCCUGCUGGACUGCGACUGACGUUGAGGCCCGAAAGCGUGGGGAGCAAACAGGAUUAGAUACCCGUGUAGUC
Molecule: ribosomal RNA, 439 nt
Filed under: uncultured bacterium
Lineage: Bacteria
Description: partial 16S ribosomal RNA
Rfam family: Bacterial small subunit ribosomal RNA
Source: RNAcentral